RNAcentral lists this ribosomal RNA (399 nucleotides) under uncultured bacterium. RNAcentral's name for it is "partial 16S ribosomal RNA". It matches the Rfam family "Bacterial small subunit ribosomal RNA", at positions 360 to 774 of the family's 1533-position model. The record is from RNAcentral.
AAUAUUGCACAAUGGAGGGAACUCUGAUGCAGCAACGCCGCGUGAGUGAAGAAGGUUUUCGGAUCGUAAAACUCUGUCAUUGGGGAAGAAUAAAUGACGGUACCCAAGAAGAAAGCCCCGGCUAACUACGUGCCAGCAGCCGCGGUAAUACGUAGGGGGCAAGCGUUGUCCGGAAUUAUUGGGCGUAAAGGGUGCGUAGGCGGCCUUUUAAGUCAGAUGUGAAAGCCCACGGCUUAACCGUGGGAUUGCAUUUGAAACUGGAAGGCUUGAGUAUCGGAGAGGGUAGUGGAAUUCCCAGUGUAGCGGUGAAAUGCGUAGAUAUUGGGAGGAACACCAGUGGCGAAGGCGACUACCUGGACGAAAACUGACGUUGAGGCACGAAAGCUAGGGGAGCAAACA